GUACACUCCUGCGGGAGGCAGCAGUGGGGAAUAUUGCACAAUGGGCGCAAGCCUGAUGCAGCCAUGCCGCGUGUAUGAAGAAGGCCUUCGGGUUGUAAAGUACUUUCAGCGGGGAGGAAGGUGUUGAGGUUAAUAACCUCAGCAAUUGACGUUACCCGCAGAAGAAGCACCGGCUAACUCCGUGCCAGCAGCCGCGGUAAUACGGAGGGUGCAAGCGUUAAUCGGAAUUACUGGGCGUAAAGCGCACGCAGGCGGUCUGUCAAGUCGGAUGUGAAAUCCCCGGGCUCAACCUGGGAACUGCAUUCGAAACUGGCAGGCUAGAGUCUUGUAGAGGGGGGUAGAAUUCCAGGUGUAGCGGUGAAAUGCGUAGAGAUCUGGAGGAAUACCGGUGGCGAAGGCGGCCCCCUGGACAAAGACUGACGCUCAGGUGCGAAAGCGUGGGGAGCAAACAGGAUUAGAAACCCCUGUAGUCCCA
This 475-nucleotide ribosomal RNA is filed under the name uncultured organism. Its description in RNAcentral is "partial 16S ribosomal RNA". It matches the Rfam family "Bacterial small subunit ribosomal RNA", at positions 331 to 797 of the family's 1533-position model. The record is from RNAcentral.